CCCUUAGAUGUUCUGGGCCGCACGCGUGCUACACUGAGUGGAUCAGCGGGUCAGGUUGCGCGAAAGUGUUUCCUAAUCUUUAAAUCCGCUCGUGAUGGGGAUUGACGGUUGCAAUUUUCCGUCAUGAACGAGGAAUACCUUGUAAGCGCGGGUCAUCAUCCCGCGCUGAAUACGUCCCUGCCCUUUGUACACACCGCCCGUCGCUCCUACCGAUUGAGUGCUCAGGUGAAUAAUUCGGACUGCAGCAAUGUUUGGAUCCCGAACGUUGCAGCGGAAAGUUUAGUGAACCUUAUCACUUAGAGGAAGGAGAAGUCGUAACA
Molecule: ribosomal RNA, 320 nt
Filed under: uncultured eukaryote
Lineage: Eukaryota
Description: partial 18S ribosomal RNA
Rfam family: Eukaryotic small subunit ribosomal RNA
Source: RNAcentral